RNAcentral lists this ribosomal RNA (492 nucleotides) under uncultured bacterium. Its description in RNAcentral is "partial 16S ribosomal RNA". It matches the Rfam family "Bacterial small subunit ribosomal RNA", at positions 29 to 507 of the family's 1533-position model. The record is from RNAcentral.
AGUGAACGCUGGCGGUAGGUCUAACACAUGCAAGUCGAACGGCAGCACAGUAAGAGCUUGCUCUUACGGGUGGCGAGUGGCGGACGGGUGAGGAAUACAUCGGAAUCUACUUUUUCGUGGGGGAUAACGUAGGGAAACUUACGCUAAUACCGCAUACGACCUACGGGUGAAAGCAGGGGAUCUUCGGACCUUGCGCGACUGAAUGAGCCGAUGUCGGAUUAGCUAGUUGGCGGGGUAAAGGCCCACCAAGGCGACGAUCCGUAGCUGGUCUGAGAGGAUGAUCAGCCACACUGGAACUGAGACACGGUCCAGACUCCUACGGGAGGCAGCAGUGGGGAAUAUUGGACAAUGGGCGCAAGCCUGAUCCAGCCAUACCGCGUGGGUGAAGAAGGCCUUCGGGUUGUAAAGCCCUUUUGUUGGGAAAGAAAAGCAGCAGGUUAAUACCCCGCUGUUCUGACGGUACCCAAAGAAUAAGCACCGGCUAACUUCGUG